RNAcentral lists this unclassified non-coding RNA (337 nucleotides) under soil metagenome. RNAcentral's name for it is "partial contains 5.8S ribosomal RNA, internal transcribed spacer 2, and large subunit ribosomal RNA". The stretch from base 3 to 120 matches the Rfam family "5.8S ribosomal RNA", at positions 37 to 154 of the family's 154-position model. The record is from RNAcentral.
GGUGAAGAACGUAGCGAAAUGCGAUAAGUAGUGUGAAUUGCAGAAUUCAGUGAAUCAUCGAAUCUUUGAACGCACAUUGCGCCCCUUGGUAUUCCAUGGGGCAUGCCUGUUCGAGCGUCAUUUGUACCUUCAAGCUCUGCUUGGUGUUGGGUGUUUGUCUCGCCUCUGCGUGUAGACUCGCCUCAAAACAAUUGGCAGCCGGCGUAUUGAUUUCGGAGCGCAGUACAUCUCGCGCUUUGCACUCAUAACGACGACGUCCAAAAGUACAUUUUUACACUCUUGACCUCGGAUCAGGUAGGGAUACCCGCUGAACUUAAGCAUAUCAAUAAGCGGUGGA